UACAGAGGCCCCAAGCAUUAUCCGGAUUUACUGGGCGUAAAGGGUGCGUAGGCGGUUAUAUUAGUCGGGUGUUAAAUCCCGGGGCUCAACCCCGGAAUCGCAUCCGAAACGGUAUAACUAGAAUAAGUCAGAGGCAAGCAGAACUCACGGUGUAGGGGUGAAAUCCGUUGAUAUCGUGGGGAAUACCAAAUGCGAAGGCAGCUUGCUGGGACUUUAUUGACGCUGAGGCACGAAAGCGUGGGUAGCGAAUCGG
This 253-nucleotide ribosomal RNA is filed under the name uncultured bacterium. Its description in RNAcentral is "partial 16S ribosomal RNA". It matches the Rfam family "Bacterial small subunit ribosomal RNA", at positions 524 to 776 of the family's 1533-position model. The record is from RNAcentral.